UGCGCAGGCGGCCAAGUGUGUGAGGCGUGAAAGCCCGGGGCUUAACCCCGGAAUUGCACCUCAAACUACAUGGCUAGAGCAUUGGAGAGGGUAGCAGAAUUCAUGGUGUAGCAGUGAAAUGCGUAGAUAUCAUGAGGAAUACCAGAGGCGAAGGCGGCUACCUGGACAAUUGCUGACGCUCAGGCACGAAAGCGUGGGGAGCAAAAG
Molecule: ribosomal RNA, 207 nt
Filed under: uncultured bacterium
Lineage: Bacteria
Description: partial 16S ribosomal RNA
Rfam family: Bacterial small subunit ribosomal RNA
Source: RNAcentral